Non-coding RNA from Neolamprologus brichardi, 355 nucleotides. NCBI's taxonomy places the organism in Eukaryota, Metazoa, Chordata, Actinopteri, Cichliformes, Cichlidae. The record is from RefSeq and is a predicted model, not a curated record.
AGCCACGGGAAGCCGACGGGUAAAGAGAUCGGUUGUUGUCGGAUUACGUCGUUGAAGAGAAAUUGUUCAGCCAUGUUUCCGAAGUAACAAAGAGGCGACGGAUGGCCUGGAUUGCAGCCAUUUGAGGCGUUUAGUUUGGUAGUUACACUGGAGGAGCGGAGUGUGGAGUUUAAUAACACCGCUGAAAAUACUGCGGUUGGUCUACAAGAGGACAGAAAUCCGUACGGGUGCUUGAAAUGCUUGAAAACGCUUGGAUUUUAAUGUUGUCUUUUAAAGACUGCAUUAACCGUUCUCCAUGGCUGCUGUUGUUCCUUUUGCGUCCUGCUAUGCCAGCGUUCAGCCCCUGCAGCUAUUC